Molecule: transfer RNA, 71 nt
Filed under: Loxodonta africana (African savanna elephant)
Lineage: Eukaryota; Metazoa; Chordata; Mammalia; Proboscidea; Elephantidae
Rfam family: tRNA
About the family: Transfer RNA (tRNA) molecules are approximately 80 nucleotides in length.
Source: Rfam by way of RNAcentral
GCACUGGUGGUCCAGUGGUAGAAUCCUUGCCUUCCAUGAGGGAAACCUGGGUUCAAGUCCUGGCAAGUGCA